RNAcentral lists this small RNA (137 nucleotides) under Escherichia coli. RNAcentral's name for it is "RtT sRNA". It matches the Rfam family "RtT RNA". From Rfam's summary of the family: This family represents a bacterial cis-regulatory element known as RtT RNA. The exact function of RtT is unknown although it is thought that it may be involved in changing the cellular response in relation to amino acid starvation. The record is from RNAcentral. Lineage: Bacteria; Pseudomonadati; Pseudomonadota; Gammaproteobacteria; Enterobacterales; Enterobacteriaceae.
UGCAUCUGCAGCUCAUGAGGAUGAGAACCUCCGGGGGCAGGGAGGUUCGACUCGAGCGAAGCGAGAGAACGUUGCGCCAGCAACGGNNNCCCGCAGGGCGAGCCACGAAGUGGCGAGUAAUCCUCUAUCACCGACCA